Molecule: long non-coding RNA, 653 nt
Organism: Clupea harengus (Atlantic herring)
Lineage: Eukaryota; Metazoa; Chordata; Actinopteri; Clupeiformes; Clupeidae
Source: Ensembl
GUGGUUGCAGCAGCUGUUGUGGUAUUGGUGGGAGCUGUUGUGGGAGAUGUUGUGGUAGAUGCUGGAGCUGUAGUGGUGGUUGCUGGAGUUGUUGUGGUAGUUUCUGGAUUUGUUGUGGGUGCUGUUGUGGUAGUGGUGGUAGCUGUUGUGGUAAUUGCUGCAGCUGUUAUGGGGGCUGUUGUGAUGGUUGCAGCAGCUGUUGUGGGGGCCUUAGCGGUAGUGGCGGCAGAUAUUGUGGGUUCUUUUGUGGCUGCCGUUGUUGUAGUUGCAGCAGCUGUUGUGGUAGUGGUGGGAGCUGCUGUGGGUGCUGUUGUGGUGGUUGCAGCCGCUGUUGUGGUAGUUACUGGAGCUCUUGUGGGUGCUGUUGUGGUAGUGGUGGGACCUGUUGUGGUAAUGGUGGCAGCUGUUGUGGGUGCUGUUGUGGUGGUUGCAGCAGCUGUUGUGGUAGUUUCUGGAGCUGUUGUGGGUGCUGUUGUGGUAGUGGUGGGACCUGUUGUGGUAGAUGCUGGAGCUGUUGUGGUAGUUGCUGGAGCUGUUGUGGUGGUUGCAGCAGCUGUUGUGGUAGUUUCUGGAGCUGUUGUGGGUGCUGUUGUGGUAGUGGUGGUAGCUGUUGUGGUAAUUGCUGCAGCUGUUAUUGGGGCUGUUGUGGUGGU